Molecule: ribosomal RNA, 1658 nt
Filed under: Paenibacillus ihumii
Lineage: Bacteria; Bacillati; Bacillota; Bacilli; Caryophanales; Paenibacillaceae
Description: bacterial LSU rRNA
Rfam family: Bacterial large subunit ribosomal RNA
Source: RNAcentral
AAGGACUGGAACUGCAUACAAGUGAGAAUGCCGGUAUGAGUAACGAAAAGAUCAGUGAGAAUCUGAUCCGCCGAAAGCCCAAGGUUUCCUGAGGAAGGUUCGUCCGCUCAGGGUAAGUCGGGACCUAAGGCGAGGCCGAAAGGCGUAGUCGAAGGACAACAGGUUGAAAUUCCUGUACCACCGUAAUCCGCUAUGAGCGAUGGGGUGACGCAGUAGGGUAGUGACGCGAGCUGAUGGAUGCUCGUCCAAGCAGUGAGGCUGAUGUGUAGGCAAAUCCGCACAUCGUUAAGGCUGGGCUGUGAUGGGGAGGGAAAAUUUACAGUACCGAAGGUCAUGAUCUCACACUGCCAAGAAAAGCCUCUAGCCAGGAGAAGGUGCCCGUACCGCAAACCGACACAGGUAGGCGAGAAGAGAAUUCUAAGGCGCGCGGAAGAACUCUCGUUAAGGAACUCGGCAAAAUGACCCCGUAACUUUGGGAGAAGGGGUGCCCCGGUAGUGUGAAUAGCACGAGGGGGCCGCAGUGAAAAGGCCCAAGCGACUGUUUAGCAAAAACACAGGUCUGUGCGAAGCCGUAAGGCGAAGUAUACGGGCUGACGCCUGCCCGGUGCUGGAAGGUUAAGGGGAGCGGUUAGGGGUAACCCGAAGCUGUGAACCGAAGCCCCAGUAAACGGCGGCCGUAACUAUAACGGUCCUAAGGUAGCGAAAUUCCUUGUCAGGUAAAUUCUGACCCGCACGAAUGGCGUAACGACUUGGGCGCUGUCUCAACGAGAGAUCCGGUGAAAUUUUAAUACCUGUGAAGAUGCAGGUUACCCGCGACAAGACGGAAAGACCCCAUGGAGCUUUACUACAGCUUGAUAUUGAACUUUGAUGCGAUUUGUACAGGAUAGGUGGGAGCCUAGGAAUCCGGAGCGCCAGCUUCGGUGGAGGCGCCGUUGGGAUACCACCCUGAUCGUAUCGAAGUUCUAACCUGGGACCGUGAUCCGGUUCGGGGACAGUGUCAGGCGGGUAGUUUGACUGGGGCGGUCGCCUCCUAAAGAGUAACGGAGGCGCCCCAAGGUUCCCUCAGAAUGGUUGGAAAUCAUUCGCAGAGUGCAAAGGCAAAAGGGAGCUUGACUGCGAGACUGACAAGUCGAGCAGGGACGAAAGUCGGGCUUAGUGAUCCGGUGGUACCGCAUGGAAGGGCCAUCGCUCAACGGAUAAAAGCUACCCUGGGGAUAACAGGCUUAUCUCCCCCAAGAGUCCACAUCGACGGGGAGGUUUGGCACCUCGAUGUCGGCUCAUCGCAUCCUGGGGCUGAAGUAGGUCCCAAGGGUUGGGCUGUUCGCCCAUUAAAGCGGUACGCGAGCUGGGUUCAGAACGUCGUGAGACAGUUCGGUCCCUAUCUGUCGUGGGCGUAGGAAAUUUGAGAGGAGCUGUCCUUAGUACGAGAGGACCGGGAUGGACGCACCGCUGGUGUACCAGUUGUUCCGCCAGGAGCAUAGCUGGGUAGCUACGUGCGGAUGGGAUAAACGCUGAAAGCAUCUAAGCGUGAAGCCCUCCUCAAGAUGAGAUUUCCCAAUUAGUAAGACCCCUUGAAGACGACGAGGUUGAUAGGCCUGAGGUGGAAGUGCAGCAAUGUAUGGAGCUGACAGGUACUAAUCGGUCGAGGGCUUAUCCAA